Felis catus (domestic cat) is the source of this 3791-nucleotide long non-coding RNA. RefSeq lists it as uncharacterized. The record is from RefSeq and is a predicted model, not a curated record. Lineage: Eukaryota; Metazoa; Chordata; Mammalia; Carnivora; Felidae. The transcript is spliced from 2 exons.
CACUUAAGAUGGAAUAGAACCAGUUUACAGCAAUGAUGACCUACUUGUAGAGAAAAAAAAAAGUCUAAUAUGAUCCAAAAGAAACUUCAGAAGUUCCAAAUGUGCUAAAAGUUAAGAAUACCACAAAAGCAGCUUAACAAGUUAGAGGGAAUCCGACUCAAAUAGCUCAGUAUGGAAAGCAAGCUCUUUUGCCCUAGUGAGGAAGGCAACUACGUAAGAAGGUGACUUUGAGGUCAAAACCAGUCAACUUGCCGCAGAUGGUCAAGACAUUCAUUUUGGAUAAGACAACUUCUGAAGGGACGAGCAAGGGACCUAGGAAGGCAAGGCAAGAUAGAAAGAUUCCACCACAAAAGCCACAUAAGAAAGGUCUAGACUUCAAACGUGUCUCCUUUAAACAGAAGAGAAUGGAGUAGUUUGUGGCUGACCAAUGUUCCUGCUGAAAAUAACUGCAGGUAAAAUACAACCAUCAUUAUAGAGUUAUCAGAGAGCUGCUAAGCAAGAAGAACUAGAGGGGGCCAGGAUGUUGGGGAAGAGAGAAUCUCAGAGAGGUUACUGGUCUUCACCUACUUCAAUCAUGGGCAGGGGGUGGGGCAUUUACUGAUUCUGGGAUGAGACAAGAUGCUGAGAAUUGUGGUCUUACCCAGGCAGAGAGUUGCUUCUUGAAGCCAGAGAAACAUGCGGGGCUAUUACUAGAAGUGUUUCAGAAAAGACAAAAUUAGAGACUUCAAGAGCUUCAAGCACACAUCUUUCCCCUCAAAAUAUUUGCCACACUGUGAAACUGCCUGAAAUGGGAGGCUGAAGGGAUAAGCAAGUGGUCUCUGAGAGCAGAACUGAGUUUCUGGUAAUCUCUCAGGGCCAAGGAAACAAGUACUAGAGUCUAGAACAUGCCAAGGGGAAGGAACCCAGUGAAUACAUCAGGCCCCUCAAAGAAAGCCCUGAACAGCUGUGAUGUAGGAAUAUUAAAGAAUAGAGGUAGACAGAACGUUACCAAAACAACACAGCCCCAACUCAACUUGGAGACUGACAGGAGUGAAGCUACCCAGUCUACUGCUCUAGCCCAGGAAAAAGCGAACUCUCCCUGAAGAGAGAAAAUAGAGAGCAGCACUGUCCAGCAGAAAAAUAGUGCAGCCACAAAUGUGACCCAUGUACACAAUUUAAAAUUUCCUAAUAAUUACAUUUUCAAAAGUCAAAAGAAACAGGUCAAAUUAAUUUUAUAUUUAGUAUAUACAAAAUAACACUUCACCAUGUAAUCAAUAUAAAAAGUUGUUAAUGGAAUACUUUACAUUAUUUUUUGUUGUACCAAAAAAUUCAGCAUUUUACAAUUACGGCAUACCUCAAUUAGGAUUAGUCACAUUUCAAAUGCUUAAAAUUAAAAGUCACAUGCAGCUAGUGGGACUGUAUGAAUAGCAUAAAUCUAGACCUGCAAAAACAUUUUCUCCCAAUGUCCAGCAAUCAAUGAAGAAUUGCUAUUAAUAUGCCUAAGAAAUUAAGAGGCCAACAUGAAGAAAAAAGACAGAAAAUAGAAAAUGAAAAGAUAAAUAAUUUCAUGUGAGUAUUGGAAUAUAUUUUUAAAUGUAAAUUAUAGAGCUGAAAAUAAAAUAAUUGCAAUCAAGAAUUCAUCAGACUGAUUAGUAAGUUAUCUAUAGGAAAAGAUAAAAUGGACAUAUUCUUCAAAAAAAUUAUCAAAGCUAAAAAAGAAGAAAUAGAAAAUAUGAUUAGAACUGUGCCUGUUAAGGAAACUGCCUCAUAAUUUAAAAUCUAUCAUAACACUCCAGUUCCAGAUGAUUUUGCCAGUCAAUUCUUCCAAAAAUUCAAAGAGAAAAGUGUAUCAAUUUUGCACAAAGCCUUAGAGAAUAAAAAGAGGAAGAACGCUUUUAACUGUUUCUAUGAAGGCACCACAAGAUUAGUUCCAAAACUUGGUAAGGACAUUAAGAAAGAAAAUUAUAGACUAAUCUUUCUCAUGACAACAAAUAAAAAAUUUUAGAACAAAAUAUUAGUAAAUCAAAUCAAACGAUAAAGAUAAAGGAUAAUAUAUCACAGGCAAAUGGGGUUUAUUCCAGGUAUACGAGGUUAGAAUAUCAUUUGAAAAUUAAAUGUAACUGACUUCACCAAUAGAAGAAGGGAGAAAAAUAAUACAGUCAUCUUGGUGAUGCAAAAACAGCAUUUCAAAAAUUCAAUACCCAUUUAUAAUUUAAAAACCCUUAGCAAAUAGGAACAGAAUGCAAUUUCCUUAAUAUGAAAAACAGCAUCUUUCAAACAAAUAACCUACAGCAUUCACAUACAAUGGUGAAAUCUUGAAAACUUUCUCAGUGAGAUUAUAAACAAAACCAGAUUACCACCACUUCUAUUUAACAUUGUACUGAAGGUUUUAAGCAGUGAAAUAUUGCAAGGAAAAUGGAAAGAAAUGGAGGAGAGAGAAGUAGAAGGAAGGAGACAGGAUAAAAAGGAUGCCAAACGAAGAAAAAAAUAACAUUAUUUGUAAAUUAUACGACUGCAGAUCUAGAAGAUACAAAAGAAUCUAUUAACUAUUAGAAUUAAUAAGAAAAUUUAACAAGGUCACUGGAUACAAGGUCAACAUAAAGGUAUAACUAAAAGAGCAGGUAAUUAGUGGAAAGAUAUAGUAGACUAAUGGAACAGCUAAGAGACUUCAGAAGCAGACCCACACAUUUACAGCCAUCUGAUUAAUGUCAGAGAUGACACUCUGGUGCAGUAGAGGAAAGAUGGUCUCUUCAAAUAAUGACGCUGGAUAUUCUGGUCUUCCAUUUGGGAGAAAAAACAUAAUUUUGACUCCCACAAUUCCCACCAUAAACAAAAAUGAGCUCCAGUUGGAUUUAGAUCUAAAUGUCAAAGGUAAAAUGUCAGAAGCUUUUUUUAGAAGAAAAUAAAACAUGUUUGUAACCUGGAGUAGAUAAAAUUUUUAGGACACAAAAAGUACUCAUCGAUAAAUAUUGAUCAACUAUCUUAAAACCAAGAACUUCUGUUCAUUAAAAGACACAAUUAAGAAAGUGGAAAAAACAAGCCACAGACUGGAAAAUAUGCCUAUCUCCAGCAAAGGACACCUAUCUUGAGAAUACAAUAUACACAUAUAUAAUAUAGAUAUAGAUAUAAAUAUAGAUAUAGAUAUAGAUAUAGAUAUAGAUAUAGAGAUAUACACACAAUAUACAAAGAGUAUAUAUCCAACACAUGUUCAACAGUGUAUACUCAAAUGUUCACAAGAGUAUUAGUUAUAAUAGCCAGAGUAUCCAAAUACAUAUUGACAGAUUAAAAAAUUGGAAUAAAUCACAAAAUGGAAUAUUCUACAGUCAACGAAAAUGAACAAUCUACAACUACCCAAUUACAUAGAUAACUCUCACAAACAUGUUGAGUAAAAGGAGCCAGAUGCAAAAAAGUACAGGCACAGGGCACCUGGCUGGCUCAGUCUGAAGAGCAGGCCACUCUUGAUCUCAGGGUUGUGGGUUCAAGCCCCAUGUUGGGAGUAGAGCUUACUUCAAAAAAAAAAAAAAAACUAUAGGCACAAAAUGAUUCCAUCUUUAUAAAGUAAAACAUCACAAAAUAAAAACAAAAAGAUUUUAAAAACGCAGGUGAGAGUAAUCCAUAUUGUUACAAGUCAGAAUAAUGAUUAGCUUUGAGGAAGCAUAAGGAAACAUAAAGGGGGUUUCUGGUUAUAUAGGUCUGUUUAGUUUGGGAAAAUUCAGUGAGCUUUUCACUUAUGAUAUAUGGACUUUAUUGUUUCAAUAUAAAAAUUUUAAAUUAAAAAAAAAAAAAGACCCAGACCUUUCUGCUCUGUCAUG